Molecule: long non-coding RNA, 7452 nt
Organism: Amphiprion ocellaris (clown anemonefish)
Lineage: Eukaryota; Metazoa; Chordata; Actinopteri; Pomacentridae
Exons: 3
Source: RefSeq, a predicted model, not a curated record
GGGGUAUUUAGGGUCAGAGGUGACAGGGAUUGGUUUGCACAAUCAAAUCCAGACGAUGUUUUGUGGAGUUUGUAAAAAGAGAAAACAGAAACGACUGAACUGAACGCGAGCCUCUCGUUGGGCCCAAGAACUCUUUCUGUAUGUCUGUCUCAAGGCCUUCCAGGCUCCUUUUCUACUUCAUCCAUUCCUGUUUCUGUUUCUGUGGACGAGGACCAUGAAUGAGACGGUCUCAGAGCUCUGAUUCCUCCAGAACUAUUUAAUGACUGAACUCUGACGGUGUGCCUCCAGCGUAGAGAUGCCAUGAAUGACACACUCACACUUAGACUAAUGAGCACGAAGCAGGAGCAUUGUCAGAUCAUUUAGAAGUUUUGACCUAUUUUUCACAGGCUGCUGUGAUUAAUACGAUUCAGACAAACUUGCCGAACCAAAGCAAGUGAGCUCCACCUGUCGACUAAACACAGCACUUACCCUAUCUCCUGGUUCUAGAAGUGAAACCUCAAACCUGCUGCUAACCUCUCAGCUCCUCCACAACGAGCACUUUGACAAUCUGUCCCCAGUCUGGGGAAGGAGACCCCACAGACCAGCCGAGUCCACCAGAAUGUGUUCCAUCACCUGGCAGUGGCAUCACUUCCUGUUCAGGCCCUGGUGAGUCCGACUGCCCCCUGGUGGGACACGGCGUCCUGCCGUCUACAGAACCAGCGCUGUUUGGCUCCGGGAUGUCCGGCUGCUUCCCGUAGUUGAAUCAACGGAGCCGGUUUGUGCAUGAAAGGACCUCUGUGGUGACAAACACGACGCUGUUGUACUUUUAAAGUAACCCGACCAACAACCAGCUGUGAAAAACAGCUAGUUGUCCAGUGGAAGUCUAGUUCAGCUCCGUCAGUGUUGUCCCAUGUCCAGUGAGUCUCCUGCUGUGCCAAAAAUCCCUGUAGAGGGCGCCGUUUUGUCCACCAGGGGGCGAUGCUCUCAGAGCCACAAACAGCUGGACUGACUGGGAAACCACACUAUUGCAAACUGCCUCAUUUUAUUCUGUCCAAAGGGGCAAAAAAGAGAAAAAAACUACAAAAAAAGACUUAUGGGAAACUUCUUCUCAUGGUUCGAUUAGCAUCAACAUACACUUACAAGCUCUGUUUGUUAGCAUGUUUCUGAGACAGUUCCGAUUGUUCUGAUGCUGUCAGGAGGAGGAGGAGGAGGAGAGAAUCAUCACAACACAAGGAACUUCCCCUCAAGAGACUCAACUCUCCCUUCAUCCCCAUCCCUCCUCUCCACGUCUGGUUUGUCCACUGCCGGUCUCAGGCGACACCUUCACUGGUCACUGUUUCUGUUGUUGUUUUCCGCUGUUGUUCAGACGAGACAUUGAUUCCUGAUGUUGAAGUUGCUUCUUGUGUUUCUGCUCUGCUAUAAGCUUUCUGCUGUUGAGGACGAGUCCUUCAAAGGGGUUGAAGAGAGGAAGGUUUGGGUGGACGUCCAGGGGCAGCGGUUCUCAAUCUGGGGUUUGGGAUGCCAAAGGGGUCCAAGGGAAAGACUGAGGGGUAAUCUGCAGUAGAUGAGGUAUUUUAGUCGUGCUGGCUCACUGUAUGGACGAUUAGUAGGCUGGUCAGCCCCAGGUUUGGUGGAAAUAUCUCAACAACAGGAUGAAUUACUGCUGAAUGUCACUUAGGGAUGAAUCCUGCUGAUUCUGGUGACCUCCUACAUGUUUAUAGGACAGUUUGGCUUCAACUGAAACACCUCAAGAACCUUUGGAGGUUUUUCAUGUGCCCUUCAAGAUGAGUUUAAUUAGGAAACUCUAGUAGACUGUAGAUUCUUGGUAAAGUUGAGGGCUGCCAAACACUCUUUUGAGUUUUUUGCAGCUCUCAACUUUACCAAGAAACUACAGUCUACAUAUCUACACUAGCGUUCUGAAGUUUGGGGUCACCCAGACAAUUCCAUGUUUUCCAUGAAAACUCCCACUUUUCUCCAUGUGCUAACAUAACUGCACAAGGGUUUUCUAAUCAUCAAUGAGCCUUUCAACACCAUUAGCUAACACAAUGUAGUAUUAGAACACAGGAGUGAUGGUUGCUGGAAAUGUUCCUCUGUACCUCUAUGGAGAUAUUCCAUUAAAAAUCAGCUGUUUCCAGCUACAAUAGUCAUUUACCACAUUAACAAUGUCUACACUGGAUUUAUCAUUCAUUUCAUGCUAUUGUCAUUGGAAAAAUCUGCUUUUCUUUCAACAAUAAGGACAUUUCUAAGCGAUUUUAAGCUUUUGGACAGUGGUGUACGUGUUAAACAGUGCAAAUUUAACUGACAGACUGGCUGAUCCGCUGACAGUAAAACGUCCAAACCAGAUCUCAACGCUGAUUCCAGCUUAUAAGAACAGAAGAUGUUGGUUUAUUUUCAGGGUCAGGAGCCUCAUUGGUUGGAACCGCUGCUCUUGGGGGUAAAAUGGGUUUUAUUUCACAUCCAUUAGACCAAAUGACAUCACAUUCCUACAUGACAAUCACAUCGGUGUAAAAUCAUUUCCUAGUAAGUUCUCUAACACCAGAUUAUCUGGAGGUUAGUUUGGAUCUGAGGCUCUUUACAGGCACAGGGAGGGUUGUUCCCGCUGUGAAAUGGAGGGCAGCGCUGGGAUAGAGCUGAAUGCUGAAUGGUGGAGGAUGGACGGCGGGCCAGGGAAGCAGCAGCUCUCCAUCUGGACGCCUCCCCAGCGGCUGCCCAGCGCUCAGACCGGCCCGGGAAACUAGGCCACUGAACUCUGUCUGCUCUCCCCGGCUUUUUUUCUUUCCCUUUUUUGUAGAUUAAACCCAAAAGGCUCAACUCCCCCACCUCCUGGCCACAGAGCUCUGAACCGGCACUGGACCUGGCGGCUAACGGCCUCAUUCACACAAACACUGCAGAUAAUCACAGGACCUGUGCCUAAUUCACAGCCCUCAUUACCUCUGGGACUGCUUGCUCUGAGUGGACGAUCCUGGCGUGUGAUGUCAUCAGAAACAGGUGUUCAGUAGGGUAGAGGCGGUUUCCAUGGCAACAGUGAAACCUCUCCUCCUCCCCGUCUGUCUCUCCUCUGCUGGUCGAAGCCAGGGACAGAGACUCGGCAUGACGGCAGAAAUCUGAACGACAUGGAUCCCAGCGGGGUCCACAUUUAAAUAGUAAAUAAGCUGAUUGAUCCAUUAACCCUUUGAGCUCGGCCUGGAACACAUUGCACUUGUAGAUCUGGGGAUGCCGUCACGUCAUUCAGCAGCUGUUUGGGAACCGAGAAUAAUUAUAUAUAUGAAAAAUCAUCCUCAGUCUCUAAAAUGUCUGAUUAAAGUCUUAUUUUUUCAUCUAACAUUGUAAAUGUGGUACGGGCUCCUGGAGGUGUGGAAGUAAAACCCUCCAGGACGCUAAACCUGUCAGCUGGCAGCACAAAGGGUUAAUGACGAGACUAAGGCCACGCAAGGCCAGUUCCAAGUUACAUUUUUGCACAUUUGUGAGAUAUUAUGUCAGUAUUUUAAUUUUUCCAAGUGCCUUUUUAUUAUAGGUAAAUAUAGAAGUUCUACACUAUAUGAAAAAGUGAUUAUAUGAAAAUAUAUUUUUCCUGGCGACAUGUUCUGUGGUUGAACAUGCAGAAUUUUAGAGUUGUAAAAGUCUCCAAUUGGUACAACAUAGCAGCGUUCUCCUGUUUUAGAGGAAUUUUAUUACAAUAUUGAUAAUAAUGUCAAUGAAACAAAAACGUUUAAUAAAGAUGCAUUUGAUACGCGCCUUUUCAUUUGUGGACCAAAUAUAUGUAGAUUCACAACACAUUCACAUCACCUUCAUUAACAUUAAUGGGUUAGGGUUAAUUAGGGUUAAUAUUUAUGAGGAACAGGAACCAGGUCUGAGGAUUCUCUCUGGUCUUUGGGUUUAUAUUCUAGUCAGGAGGUCAGAUUUAGAUUACAGACCAGUAUGGAGACAACUUGUCUGCUGAAGAACGUCAACUAGAUAAUAUCUAAUCAUAAUCAGCAGCAUUUGGCUUUCUUAGGGUCGUAUUAGGGCCUAAACAUGUUGACAGUCUCAGACAGAAGCAAACAGGAACAAGAAUCAGAGGUGAUAAUCUGAGGUGAUCUAUAGGUACUACAACUUGAUUUAAGGAGACCUGCAUGAUAUCCUGGGAAGUCUUCCAUUGACGGCUGCAAGGAAAUACUUCAAUAAGAGGAAAGAGGAAUUUUUCCAUCACAAUAUUCAACAAGUUUCCAUCAGGACUUCGAGCAGCUAACAUAUACAAACAAAUAUCUCAACAACAGGAUGAAUUACCCCUGAAUGCCACUUAGGGAUGAAUCCUGCUGAUUCUGGUGACCUCCAACAUGUUUAUAGGACAGUUUGGCUUCAACUGAAACAUCGACAAUCUUUGGAGGUUUUUCAGAGAUGUUCUUGUGCCCUUCAAGAUGAGUUUAAUUAGAAAAUGCUAGUAGACUGUAGAUUCUUGCUAAAGUUCAGGAUAGUAGCUCUCUUUCGAGUGUUUUGCAGCCCUCAACUUUACCAAGAAUCUACAUAUCUACACUACUGUUAAGAAGUUUGGGGUCAUCCAGACCAUUGUUCCGUCUAAGCUGCGCGCGUGCGCAAUUGCGCACUGCUGACACGGUCUCCGCGCACAGAAAAUCUGCGCUGCGCACAAAAAAAAAAUCCAACCUAAAUUUUAAAUAAAAUAAACAUGCAACAAUUCAUUCUGUGCUACUUUUCAGUGUGAGUCAGUGAGUGACCGGUGACUGGCUGCUGCAGCCAAUGAUGCGAUUCACAUACGUAUUUACCAUAGACUGUAUAUAAUGGUAUUUACGCAGCUAAUCAAAGUCAGGCGUCCUUAUGUGCAGCCACAGUUGUUCUCAUAGAUAUGAAUGAGUAGAUAGGACACGCCCCUUUGAGCUGCGUGCUACAGCGAGGCUAAGCUAGUGGGGGAAAAGUUUCAGUGCAUUCCGUUGAUGUAGACGGCGUGAAAACGGAAACAACAAGAAUGCCGUUUCACUGUGCUGCAUACAGUUACACACUACGUCGUACGAUUGAGACAAGGAAACUUGGAAUGACUUUUCAUAGGUAAGAAUAGUUUUUGGCUCUUUUUUCAUUAUGAAAUCUUGUUGAGAGCUUCCAGUCUAUGAGAGCUAACUAGUUAGCCACUAGCAAAACGCUAAGGCGAGCUAGCAGCUUGACAAGCAAAUACCAGACGAUUAAUAGUAGCUGUAGUAUAGUUGUACAAGCAGUAGUAGUAAUACUAAAAGUACAAGCAGCAGUAGUAGUAUAAACAGCUGUUAGAGUUGUAGAAGUAGUAUCAGCAUUUGUAAUAGUAUUACAAGUUGUAGUAGCAGUGCCAGUAUCAGCAGCAGCAGUAGUGUACUAUCACUACUACUAGUAGUAGUCACAUUGCUAUUACUACCACCAAUACUACCAAUAGUAGUUAUAAAGCCUAACUCAUAUAUAUCCAGAUUACCAUCUAUGUUCUUCCUCCAAACCCAUUUUAUGAUUGGGAUUACAGGCAGUUCUUUAGGACUGCUCUCAAAUAAUUGAAAUGUUACUAAACAAGGUUAUACUUGUCAAAUUAAAUAGCUCUGGUCUCCAGUAUAUUGGCGAAUUCGGUUCUUUGUACUUAAUUUAUUAGCAUGAUUUCUUUUUAAUAUGUUGUGUACAGACUUAAUUACUUCUCUGUCUACUUUUCUUACUCCAUGUAGGUUUCCCAGAGACUAUGGGUUGAGGAGGAAUUGGAAGUUUGUCGGCUUAGACCUGGUGUCAUUCCAUCAGUGUUAAACUUCCCGGCUCAUCUUGGAAGAGUACGUGCCAGAAAGACCACGACCAAGCAGCCUUGAGAUCUUAGACAGCGUCUCCCUGAGGUCCCUCUCUAUCUCCCCACACAUCCACCAACCACUAGAACACAUCUCCAAAGUUCUGCUGGACCAGCUCAGCUUCCCCUCAGAAGAAGUGCCGCCACCUGCCAGAUGAAGGAGCCUUUUGAGAGGCAGCUGGCAUCGUGAUUGGACUGUACUUUGGUCUGUUCCAAUCCAGCUUCAGCUCCAGAGACGGCAGGCGGGACGAGUCAACGGAGGCCGGGUGGAUGAAGACAUGCAGCUGAGUACAAUCCAGAAAACAACAGAGGAGGAGUGCAGCAGCCCAGAGCCAGAACAACCAGAGUAGCAUCACCAAAGAACUACAGACUCUUCACAACCUGCUCAAACUCUUGGUACAGGACCUCACCACACGAGUCAAGAAGGUUUCCUUCUCAUUUCUACUCUGAAGCUCACCUUCUCCUGCUCAAACUGCUGACAAAUGUUUCUGCUGCUCUAAAGUCUGGUCUCCAGAACUUCCUAAAAACUCUCAAAGUCUCUUCUGCUGCAGGUUGCUGUGUAGAACUGUUCCAGAAAACCUCACUAAACCACAUGGAGGGGCCUCAAGAUAGUCGUCCAAAUGAAACCGUACAAAAACCAAACUAGUACAACCCAAACGCUAAAGUCUCCUGCAGCCUACCAGAGAACCUCUGAGAACAGAGAAUCAGGACAGGAACUCUUACCUUCUGGACAACCAACGCUGGUUCACAAACAAGAAUACAGAAUGUGUCUGACCAAAAACCUCUGAAGACUCACUACAGCCAAGAUAAAGACACAACUCACCUGCAUCAAACCCACUAAUCACUGCACACAUUAGCACCAGGUGCUAACUGCGGCUAAAGAACCACAUUUACCAAGACAACUAUCCAGUACAAAGCCCUAAAACACACCAAGAAACACAUUAAAGAUGAUUUUACUGCUGGAAGCUGCAAGCCAACGCCUAAAGAACAAACUGAAGCAACAGAGCCAAACCCAGUUCACUGGUGAAGAGAACCAGAGGAAAUGUUUGUCUGCAGCUAAACAAAGCAGGAAGACACUGAGCUGCUCAGGUGUUCCUGAUAACACCUAGCAGCCACCUGGACAGCCAAUAGGAACACAGCUUCCUGGAAGUCCAGAGGGCUGGCUUAGUCAAGGAAAUUUAGUUUAAAGUUGAAGCAGAAAGUUAACAAAGAAAGUUGAAAACCACCUUCUGAUCCCUGAAAUCUCUGAGUUUUCACACAAAGAACACCUGAACAUGUCAAACUGGUUCCAUAGUAGAACCAUCAUUGUAAAAACGUCAUAGUAUGGUGUGUUGCUCAAAAAACAUUAGGACCCGGCUGUCAGGGGACAAACAUGUAAGAAACAUGAGAACAGAGAGAAUCCAACCAGUAGGUCACAGUUUAUUAUCAUCUAAUCAUCUCCUGAAGUCCAUAUGGUGAGAGACAUCAGUAUCUGGUUGUUCAUUUACCAGAGGAUGCUUAUAAUCAUGCUGAUGUGGUCUGUACUCUACAGUAUUUUAGUGACUCAAUAAAUGCCUAAGUUGUUUUUUUAAAAUGCUUUGUAGUUUUUAAUAAACAUUUAAUAGCCUAUAUGUAAUCAAUAAAUGGCCUUUGUCUAUCUUAAGAAAAACUCACUCAGAACUCUGAUAUGUUAACAGUACUAAAUAAAUCAAUAA